ACCAGAUGACUUUUGGGGUAUGUCCUAUCAUUAAGCUGACUUACACAAAGCCAUAUCCUGAUUGCGUAGACCAAGCAUAUCCAGGGCCUAGAGAGUAUAAAGUGCCAGAAUUCUCACUGUUUACCGGUUUAGGGGAGGUGUCUACUCUAGAACACAUAGGACGAUUCACACUGCAAAGUGAUGACGUAACUGAUUAUCACAAAAUGAGGCUUUUCCCUAGUUCAUUAACAGGAGUGGCUUUCUCCUGGUUCAUAAAUUUGCCAGCGAAUUCUGUUCAAACAUGGCAAUAACUAGAACAAUUGUUCCACGCUCAGUUUUAUAAGACUGAGUCUGAAGUCACUUUGGCUGAUUUGGCGAACCUACGUCAAAUGCCAAACGAAUGGGCAGAAGGUUUUCUCCAAAGGUUCAAGACAGCAAGAAGUAAAUGUUUUAUUCCUCUGCCUGAAAAAGAGUUUGUCAAAAUCACUCAAGGUUGUUUGAGCUUUGACUUAAAAAAGAAAUUCCAAGACAAGGAAUUUCCUGACCUUUUUCAAUUAAGUGCAAACGUGAUUAGGUAUGAACGAUUGAUAAGAGAAGAAUAGCAGAUGAAAAAUUCUAGUAAGGGGACUUAUUAUAGAGACCUAAAUUUUGAUGUUCAUACUAUCAAUGAUGAGUCAUACGAUCUGACCGAAA
RNAcentral lists this long non-coding RNA (672 nucleotides) under Olea europaea subsp. europaea. Lineage: Eukaryota; Viridiplantae; Streptophyta; Magnoliopsida; Lamiales; Oleaceae. The record is from RNAcentral.